UACGUAGGGUGCAGGCGUUAAUCGGAAUUACUGGGCGUAAGGCGUGCGCAGGCGGUUUGCUAAGACAGGUGUGAAAUCCCCGGGCUUAACCUGGGAACUGCGCUUGUUACUGGCAAGCUAGAGUGUGGCAGAGGGGGGUGGAAUUCCAGGUGUAGCAGUGAAAUGCGUAGAGAUCUGGAGGAACACCGAUGGCGAAGGCAGCCCCCUGGGCUAACACUGACGCUCAUGCACGAAAGCGUGGGGAGCAAACAGG
Molecule: ribosomal RNA, 253 nt
Filed under: uncultured bacterium
Lineage: Bacteria
Description: partial 16S ribosomal RNA
Rfam family: Bacterial small subunit ribosomal RNA
Source: RNAcentral